GAUGAACGCUAGCGGCAGGCUUAACACAUGCAAGUCGAGGGGUAACGAUGGUGCUUGCACCAGGCGACGACCGGCAAACGGGUGCGUAACACGUAUAUAACAUGCCCUACACAGGAGGAUAGCCCUUGGAAACGAGGAAUAAUACUCCAUGGUAUCAAGAUAUGGCAUCAUAUUUUGAUUAAAGAUUUAUUGGUGUAGGAUUGGUAUGCGCAUGAUUAGUUAGUUGGUGAGGUAACGGCUCACCAAGGCGACGAUCAUUAGGGGUCCUGAGAGGGAGAACCCCCACACUGGUACUGAGACACGGACCAGACUCCUACGGGAGGCAGCAGUGGGGAAUCUUAGACAAUGGGGGCAACCUGAUCUAGCCAUGCCGCGUGAGUGACGAAGGCCCGGGUCGUAAAGCUCUUUUCGCCAGGGAUGAUAAUGAC
RNAcentral lists this ribosomal RNA (428 nucleotides) under uncultured bacterium. RNAcentral describes it as "bacterial SSU rRNA". It matches the Rfam family "Bacterial small subunit ribosomal RNA", at positions 28 to 455 of the family's 1533-position model. The record is from RNAcentral.